Molecule: ribosomal RNA, 480 nt
Filed under: uncultured organism
Description: partial 16S ribosomal RNA
Rfam family: Bacterial small subunit ribosomal RNA
Source: RNAcentral
CGUACACUCCUGCGGGAGGCAGCAGUGGGGAAUUUUGGACAAUGGGCGCAAGCCUGAUCCAGCCAUGCCGCGUGCGGGAAGAAGGCCUUCGGGUUGUAAACCGCUUUUGUCAGGGAAGAAAAGGUUCUGGCUAAUACCUGGGACUCAUGACGGUACCUGAAGAAUAAGCACCGGCUAACUACGUGCCAGCAGCCGCGGUAAUACGUAGGGUGCAAGCGUUAAUCGGAAUUACUGGGCGUAAAGCGUGCGCAGGCGGUUAUGCAAGACAGAGGUGAAAUCCCCGGGCUCAACCUGGGAACUGCCUUUGUGACUGCAUGGCUAGAGUACGGUAGAGGGGGAUGGAAUUCCGCGUGUAGCAGUGAAAUGCGUAGAUAUGCGGAGGAACACCGAUGGCGAAGGCAAUCCCCUGGACCUGUACUGACGCUCAUGCACGAAAGCGUGGGGAGCAAACAGGAUUAGAAACCCCAGUAGUCCCAUGAU